This 387-nucleotide ribosomal RNA is filed under the name uncultured bacterium. Its description in RNAcentral is "bacterial SSU rRNA". It matches the Rfam family "Bacterial small subunit ribosomal RNA", at positions 30 to 417 of the family's 1533-position model. The record is from RNAcentral.
AUUGAACGCUGGCGGCAUGCUUUACACAUGCAAGUCGAGCGGCAGCGCGGGGGCAACCCUGGCGGCGAGCGGCGUACGGGUGAGUAAUACAUCGGAACAUGUCCUGUCGUGGGGGAUAGCUCGGCGAAAGCCGGAUUAAUACCGCAUACGAUCUACGGAUGAAAGUGGGGGAUCGCAAGACCUCACGCGAUUGGAGUGGCCGAUGUCGGAUUAGCUAGUUGGNGAGGUAAAGGCUUACCAAGGCAACGAUCCGUAGCUGGUCUGAGAGGAUGAUCAGCCACACUGGAACUGAGACACGGUCCAGACUCCUACGGGAGGCAGCAGUGGGGAAUUUUGGACAAUGGGGGCAACCCUGAUCCAGCCAUGCCGCGUGAGUGAAGAAGGCCU